This 69-nucleotide transfer RNA is filed under the name Encyrtus aurantii. RNAcentral's name for it is "tRNA-Gln". The record is from RNAcentral. Lineage: Eukaryota; Metazoa; Arthropoda; Insecta; Hymenoptera; Encyrtidae.
UACAUUUUAUUGUUUUUAAGCAUUUAAAUUUUUGAUAUUUAAAGAAAUAAUUAAUUUUAUUAAAUGUAG